AACAAAUUUGUUUUAAAAGAUCACUCUGCUUUGUAGAGAAUAGAAUAUAGGAAAGCAAGAAUGGAAACAGAGCUAUUAGGAGGCUAUUGGAGAAUAAUGCAGAUGAGAGAUUAUUACACUGUCUGAACUAAGGAGGUGGCGGUAAAGGUGUAGAGAAGAUGGAUUUUUUUUUUUAAACGGUCCCACUGUCUAGAGUGCAGUGGCGUGAUCACAGCUCACUGCAACCUAGACCUCCUGGGCUCAGGCGAUCCUCCCACCUCAGCAUCCUGAGUAGCUGGGACUAUAGGCGCAUGCCACCAUGCCUGGCUAAUUUUUCGUAUUUUUUUUGUAGAGAUUGGGUCUCUCCACAUUGCCCCGGCUGCUCUCCAACCCCUGAGUUCAAGUGAUUCACCUCCCUUGGCCUCCCAAAGUACUGGGAUUACAGGCGUGAGCCACCGUGCCUGGCUGAGAAGAUGGAUUUAAGACAUAUUUUGGAGGUAACAUUGUCAGGACUUCCUGAAGGAUUAGAUGUGGAAGGGAAGGAUAAGAAACAGACCAAGGAUAACUUUCAAAUGUAUGCUUAAGCAACUGGAUGGAUAAUGAUGCCAUUGAGUGAGUGAAAAACUUGAUGGAAGUGGAAGAUUCAGAGUUCAUUUCUAUCUAGGUUAAUUUGAGACAUACCAGAGCAUAAGUUAACGGAAAGUGACCAGAAGAGGUGUGCAGUUUCCAGGCCUGGCCCAUACAGACCUCCAACAGGUGCUCCCCUGUGCUGUUACUCCUUCUGCCAACUGGAAGCAGAUGGUGACCAGGCUCUGGAGAAGGCAAGGCCUGAAGAUGGGAGAUUCCUAAGUGGAGGAGAACUGUGCCUUACUGACCUAAAUAUCCACUCAGUAUUGUUAUGUGAGAAUAAAUAAACU
Molecule: long non-coding RNA, 896 nt
Filed under: Homo sapiens (human)
Lineage: Eukaryota; Metazoa; Chordata; Mammalia; Primates; Hominidae
Description: MAPKAPK5 antisense RNA 1
Source: RNAcentral